This 260-nucleotide ribosomal RNA is filed under the name uncultured bacterium. RNAcentral's name for it is "partial 16S ribosomal RNA". It matches the Rfam family "Bacterial small subunit ribosomal RNA", at positions 793 to 1055 of the family's 1533-position model. The record is from RNAcentral.
GUCCACGCCCUAAACGAUGAUUACUCGACAUUUGCGAUACACAGUCAGUGUCUGAGCGAAAGCAUUAAGUAAUCCACCUGGGAAGUACGACCGCAAGGUUGAAACUCAAAGUAAUUGGCGGGGGUCGCACAAGCGGUGGAGCAUGUGGUUUAAUUCGAUGAUACGCGAGGAACCUUACCUGGGCUAGAAUGCAUUUUGACCGUGGGUGAAAGCUCACUUUGUAGCAAUACACAAUUUGUAAGGUGCUGCAUGGCUGUCGU